GGAACCUAGAUUUCGACAUUAGG
RNAcentral lists this non-coding RNA (23 nucleotides) under Arabidopsis thaliana (thale cress). Lineage: Eukaryota; Viridiplantae; Streptophyta; Magnoliopsida; Brassicales; Brassicaceae. The record is from RNAcentral.